RNAcentral lists this ribosomal RNA (684 nucleotides) under uncultured bacterium. Its description in RNAcentral is "bacterial SSU rRNA". It matches the Rfam family "Bacterial small subunit ribosomal RNA", at positions 8 to 686 of the family's 1533-position model. The record is from RNAcentral.
AGACUUUGAUCCUGGCUCAGGAUGAACGCUAGCGGCAGGCUUAAUACAUGCAAGUCGAGGGGCAGCAUGGGUAGCAAUACCUGAUGGCGACCGGCAAACGGGUGAGGAACACGUACGCAACUUCCCUAAAACUGGUGAAUAGCCCUCCGAAAGGAGGAUUAAUACACCGUAAGAUAACGAGAUGGCAUCAUUUUGUUAUUAUAGCUCCGGCGGUUUUAUGAUGGGCGUGCGCCUGAUUAGGUAGUUGGUAAGGUAACGGCUUACCAAGCCUACGAUCAGUAACUGGUGUGAGAGCACGACCAGUCACACGGGCACUGAGACACGGGCCCGACUCCUACGGGAGGCAGCAGUAAGGAAUAUUGGUCAAUGGACGAAAGUCUGAACCAGCCAUGCCGCGUGAAGGAUGAAGGUCCUCUGGAUUGUAAACUUCUUUUAUCUGGGACGAAAAAAGGCCAUUCUUGGCCACUUGACGGUACCAGAGGAAUAAGCACCGGCUAACUCCGUGCCAGCAGCCGCGGUAAUACGGAGGGUGCAAGCGUUAUCCGGAUUCACUGGGUUUAAAGGGUGCGUAGGUGGAUUGGUGAGUCCGUGGUGAAAUCUCCGAGCUUAACUCGGAAACUGCCGUGGAUACUAUCAGUCUUGAAUUUCCUGGAGGUAAGCGGAAUAUGUCAUGUAGCGGUGAAA